AACGCACCUUGCGCUCUCUGGUAUUCCGGAGAGCAUGCCUGUUUGAGUGUCAUGAACUCUUCAACCCACCAGUUUCUUGUUAAACCGGAUGGUGUUUGGAUUUUGAGUGUUGCUGGACUUUUAGUCGUAGCUCAUUCGUAAUACAUUAGCAUCUCAAUUUCGAACUUCGGAUUGACUCAGCGUGAUAGACUAUUCGCUGAGGACACCUUCGGGUGGCCGAAUGAGAAGACUUAGAAGCUUAUAAUCAGAUCUUAGUCAAUUUUAGAUUAGACCUCAGAUCAGGCAGGAUUACCCGCUGAACUUAA
RNAcentral lists this unclassified non-coding RNA (305 nucleotides) under uncultured Microbotryomycetes. Its description in RNAcentral is "sequence contains ITS2". The stretch from base 1 to 52 matches the Rfam family "5.8S ribosomal RNA", at positions 103 to 154 of the family's 154-position model. Lineage: Eukaryota; Fungi; Basidiomycota; Microbotryomycetes. The record is from RNAcentral.